CGCACAUUGCGCCCCUUGGCAUUCCGAGGGGCAUGCCCGUUCGAGCGUCAUUAAAUCCAAUCAAGCCUGGCUUGGUAUUGGGCGUCGGGAUCACCCCGCGCCUCAAUUUCGUCGGCAGCCCGUUGGCCCAAUAUUAACCGUGUUGUGACCUUUGUAUUUCACGCUUUGAGGGGCGGGCCACGCCGUUAACGGGCCACGCCGUUAAACGUUCAAUAAAAUUGAUUAAGGUUGACCUCGGAUCGGGUAGGAAUACCCGCUGAACUUAA
This 266-nucleotide unclassified non-coding RNA is filed under the name Capnodiales sp. RNAcentral describes it as "partial contains 5.8S ribosomal RNA, internal transcribed spacer 2, and large subunit ribosomal RNA". The record is from RNAcentral. Lineage: Eukaryota; Fungi; Ascomycota; Dothideomycetes; Capnodiales.